UGACCCAGGUUCCUCAAGAGAAGAUAUCAUCACCUCUUUUUCUCAUUUCUGCCUCUCCAGCACAGCACCACCCCAGGAUCUGAAAUGAAUUUGACACUUGGAUAUCAGCCAUUCGAGAGCUUCCAUUGUCUCAUCUGUAGAAGACUAAACAUCCUGAACAUUUGUGCUAAGGAGUCCAUGAGAUAGUGUCCUUGGUGAGUUAUCCCAGACAUCUGUCUCUGAAGAGGAAGUUGGAGGAUGAAGGGUAGAGAUUUCUCUUUUCUAAGUUUAAUGAUGAG
Molecule: long non-coding RNA, 278 nt
Organism: Canis lupus familiaris (dog)
Lineage: Eukaryota; Metazoa; Chordata; Mammalia; Carnivora; Canidae
Exons: 4
Source: RefSeq, a predicted model, not a curated record